CAGUAGCCGCGGUAAUACGUAGGGUGCGAGCGUUAAUCGGAAUUACUGGGCGUAAAGCGUGCGCAGGCGGUUUUGUAAGACAGGCGUGAAAUCCCCGGGCUCAACCUGGGAAUGGCGUUUGUGACUGCAAAGCUAGAGUGCGGCAGAGGGGGAUGGAAUUCCGCGUGUAGCAGUGAAAUGCGUAGAUAUGCGGAGGAACACCGAUGGCGAAGGCAAUCCCCUGGGCCUGCACUGACGCUCAUGCACGAAAGCGUGGGGAGCAAACAGGAUUAGAUACCCCGGUAGUCCCUGUCUCUUAUAC
RNAcentral lists this ribosomal RNA (301 nucleotides) under uncultured bacterium. RNAcentral describes it as "partial 16S ribosomal RNA". It matches the Rfam family "Bacterial small subunit ribosomal RNA", at positions 509 to 807 of the family's 1533-position model. The record is from RNAcentral.